RNAcentral lists this ribosomal RNA (253 nucleotides) under uncultured bacterium. Its description in RNAcentral is "partial 16S ribosomal RNA". It matches the Rfam family "Bacterial small subunit ribosomal RNA", at positions 524 to 776 of the family's 1533-position model. The record is from RNAcentral.
UACGAAGGGGGCUAGCGUUGAUCGGAAUCACUGGGCGUAAAGCGCACGUAGGCGGAUCUUUAAGUCAGGGGUGAAAUCCCAAGGCUCAACCUUGGAACUGCCUUCGAUACUGGGGAUCUCGAGUCCGGAAGAGGUGAGUGGAACUGCGAGUGUAGAGGUGAAAUUCGUAGAUAUUCGCAAGAACACCAGUGGCGAAGGCGGCUCACUGGUCCGGUACUGACGCUGAGGUGCGAAAGCGUGGGGAGCAAACAGG